This 253-nucleotide ribosomal RNA is filed under the name uncultured bacterium. Its description in RNAcentral is "partial 16S ribosomal RNA". It matches the Rfam family "Bacterial small subunit ribosomal RNA", at positions 524 to 776 of the family's 1533-position model. The record is from RNAcentral.
UACGAAGGGGGCUAGCGUUGUUCGGAAUUACUGGGCGUAAAGCGCACGUAGGCUGACACUUAAGUGAGGGGUGAAAUCCCGAGGCUCAACCUCGGAACUGCCUUUCAUACUGGGUGUCUCGAGUCCGGAAGAGGUUAGUGGAAUUCCCAGUGUAGAGGUGAAAUUCGUAGAUAUUAGGAAGAACACCAGUGGCGAAGGCGGCUCACUGGUCCGGUACUGACGCUGAGGAGCGAAAGCGUGGAGAGCAAACAGG